RNAcentral lists this ribosomal RNA (500 nucleotides) under uncultured bacterium. RNAcentral describes it as "partial 16S ribosomal RNA". It matches the Rfam family "Bacterial small subunit ribosomal RNA", at positions 30 to 523 of the family's 1533-position model. The record is from RNAcentral.
AUUGAACGCUGGCGGCAGGCCUAACACAUGCAAGUCGAGCGGAUGACGGGAGCUUGCUCCUUGAUUCAGCGGCGGACGGGUGAGUAAUGCCUAGGAAUCUGCCUGGUAGUGGGGGACAACGUUUCGAAAGGAACGCUAAUACCGCAUACGUCCUACGGGAGAAAGCAGGGGACCUUCGGGCCUUGCGCUAUCAGAUGAGCCUAGGUCGGAUUAGCUAGUUGGUGGGGUAAUGGCUCACCAAGGCGACGAUCCGUAACUGGUCUGAGAGGAUGAUCAGUCACACUGGAACUGAGACACGGUCCAGACUCCUACGGGAGGCAGCAGUGGGGAAUAUUGGACAAUGGGCGAAAGCCUGAUCCAGCCAUGCCGCGUGUGUGAAGAAGGUCUUCGGAUUGUAAAGCACUUUAAGUUGGGAGGAAGGGCAGUAAGCUAAUACCUUGCUGUUUCGACGUUACCGACAGAAUAAGCACCGGCUAACUCUGUGCCAGCCGCCGCAGUAA